This 1279-nucleotide long non-coding RNA is filed under the name Agrilus planipennis (emerald ash borer). RNAcentral describes it as "uncharacterized LOC108740522, transcript variant X4". Lineage: Eukaryota; Metazoa; Arthropoda; Insecta; Coleoptera; Buprestidae. The record is from RNAcentral.
GCAGUUGUAGCAUUUUAAUCAAAUAAAAGACAGACAGAGUGUUUUGCAACUUUGCAAUGACUGUUAAGAAAUCACGUAAUCCGUACUGAAAACAACCAUCGAUUAAUUCAUUGUUAGUCUGACCUAUUUACAGUAUGAGAGAUGAUUCCAAAUUACAAUAUUCUGCAGUGAAUACAGGUUACACUAUUUCAAAGUUAAGUAAAAUAAACCCUUGGACGCCGUUGGCCAUAUGUUAUGGGGAGUUGAUUGUAAUAGUCAUACUCCUUUCCAGAAGUAGCAGUAUUCCGGAGAACUGUGAAAAUAUCCAGUACAAAGGGACUACUUGUUCAUUUGUGAUUCGUCAAUAAAUGAGAGAGAUUGGGAAUUUAAUUUUGACUCUAGCGAUGACGAUUGCGAUGUCUGCAUUGGGAUCGUUUCUGAGUUUGCUUUGUUUUUCACACAUGUGAACUAUGGAGGGUCACAUUCUGCAACUAAUUCAGGUAAUAAUACUUAAUAACAGUUAAAUUAACAUUAAUUAUACGUUAUUAAUCUGUUGUCAAUUUAGACGUCUUAGAACAUAAUGCUUAGGAUGACAAGCAUAUGCUACUUAUUUGCAUAAUAUCGUUAGAUUAUUAUAUAGGUCAUUUUGUUGGGGUUGUAGGUAAUUGUGAACAUUAGUCUAUCAAAUUUUUUCUAAAAAGGCUUGGUUGGCGUUUAUAGCUCCACUACAUUUUGCCAUAAAAAUUCAUAGAGAACAUCGACUUGCACUUCCAGUCCCCAAUUUAAAAACGUUUUUAUUUCUUAAUUGUUAAUAUUUUCUAAACCCUGGUUUUGAAAGCCGAGUCUAAUGAUAAGUGAAGGAAUUCAAAAUUGCUACCGCAGCCUAACUCUCAGAAUACUUUGCAGUAAUUUGGGUUGCCUAUUUAAAGGACCAGCAGUCGUCAGGAGAUUUAAAACAAUUUGUAUUUUAAAUUCAAAUUAUGAUGAUACCUUCGCGCGAAAUGAGGGCGCUGUUGUCGAGUUAAAGGUAGAAAUAUUACAGUGCGAUUAGAAAUUUGUAAGCAACUAAAUUUUUGAAUUUUAAUAAAAUAAUCUAAAUUUAUUUGGUACGUGAGCAAUCUAUAAAAAUAAUUAUGAUUUUACAAUACCUAACACUUAUUGUAAAUGAAGUUUUAUCAGUUUGUGUUGUAUAUUUCUGUAAUGUGAUCAUUUUUACGUUGUGUCCCGUACAUUACAACUUUUUAUACGUUCUCUGAUAGUCAAAGAUGAUUAUAGUUAAAUAUGCGGACAAAAAACUGUU